This 460-nucleotide ribosomal RNA is filed under the name uncultured bacterium. Its description in RNAcentral is "partial 16S ribosomal RNA". It matches the Rfam family "Bacterial small subunit ribosomal RNA", at positions 338 to 795 of the family's 1533-position model. The record is from RNAcentral.
CCUACGGGUGGCUGCAGUGAGGAAUAUUGGUCAAUGGGCUUACGCCUGAACCAGCCAAGCCGCGUGAGGGAAGACUGUCCUAUGGGUUGUAAACCUCUUUUGUCAGGGAGCAACGCCGGCUACGUGUAGCCGGACUGAGAGUACCUGAAGAAAAAGCAUCGGCUAACUCCGUGCCAGCAGCCGCGGUAAUACGGAGGAUGCGAGCGUUAUCCGGAUUUAUUGGGUUUAAAGGGUGCGUAGGCGGAAUAUCAAGUCAGCGGUAAAAAUUCGGGGCUCAACCCCGUCGUGCCGUUGAAACUGAUGUUCUUGAGUGGGCGAGAAGUAUGCGGAAUGCGUGGUGUAGCGGUGAAAUGCAUAGAUAUCACGCAGAACUCCGAUUGCGAAGGCAGCAUACCGGCGCCCAACUGACGCUGAAGCACGAAAGCGUGGGUAUCGAACAGGAUUAGAUACCCGGGUAGUC